UACGAAGGGGGCUAGCGUUGCUCGGAAUCACUGGGCGUAAAGCGCACGUAGGCGGACUCUUAAGUCGGUGGUGAAAUCCUGGAGCUCAACUCCAGAACUGCCUUCGAUACUGAGAGUCUCGAGUCCGGGAGAGGUGAGUGGAAUUCCGAGUGUAGAGGUGAAAUUCGUAGAUAUUCGGAAGAACACCAGUGGCGAAGGCGGCUCACUGGACUGGUAUUGACGCUGAGGUGCGAAAGCGUGGGGAGCAAACAGG
Molecule: ribosomal RNA, 253 nt
Filed under: uncultured bacterium
Lineage: Bacteria
Description: partial 16S ribosomal RNA
Rfam family: Bacterial small subunit ribosomal RNA
Source: RNAcentral